RNAcentral lists this ribosomal RNA (375 nucleotides) under uncultured bacterium. RNAcentral's name for it is "bacterial SSU rRNA". It matches the Rfam family "Bacterial small subunit ribosomal RNA", at positions 29 to 417 of the family's 1533-position model. The record is from RNAcentral.
AAUGAACGUUGGCGGCAUGGAUUAGGCAUGCAAGUCGCGCGAUAAGAUUCCUUCGGGAAUCCGAAAGCGGCGAAAGGGAGAGUAACGCGUAGAUGAUCUACCCCGAGGACUGGGAUAGCGGCGGGAAACUGCCGGUAAUACCAAAUGAUGUCUCCGGACCAAAGGUGUGAUUCCGCCUUGGGAUGAAUCUGCGUCCUAUUAGCUAGUUGGUGAGGUAACGGCUCACCAAGGCGAAGAUGGGUACCGGGUGUGAGAGCAUGACCCGGCUCACUGGGACUGAGACACUGCCCAGACACCUACGGGUGGCUGCAGUCGAGAAUCUUCGGCAAUGGGCGAAAGCCUGACCGAGCAAUGCCGCGUGCGGGAUGAAGGCCU